AUUUAUUGUUUCACGUUUCUAUGUAAAAUCUAAAAAGACAUUUUCUAAUUUUCCAUAUCAUUUUCAAUGUUCACUACACUCCAUGCAUAGAAAACUGAAAAAACAUCUUGGAGGUUGAGUGACACAUUGAGCUAUUAAUAUAGGAAAUGAAUAGGACUAGACACAAAACCGUGACCCAGCCCAACCACAUAAUCUCAUUUAUAAUUGUUUCUUUUCUCUACUAACCCUAGCUCAAAGCCGUCGCGGUCCUCCUCUUUCACUUUCUCUCCUCACCUCCUUCAGCCUACGCCAUUCUUCAUCUUAUUGAAGCUAUAUCUUUGUCUUCCUUCUUCUUUGCAAGGUUACCUAACUCUAAACUUCACUAUUUUAAAUUUUUCUCUCUUCCUUUUUUCGUGUUUAGCAAAGGUUGAAGAACCGAAAUGGAUAAAGAGGAGCUAUAAAUCCAAAACUUAUUAAAACUUAUUUUUUGGCCAUUAAAGUGUUUAAAUUUGGAAUUAAUGAUUUCGUUUUCAAUUUGUAUAAUUCAUUUGUGAUUAAAUUUGACAUUAUUGUUUUCAUUUUAGUCCGCCAUUAAUAUUUAUUGGCCAUUAAUAUGUUUGAAUAUUUGUUAUAGUUCAAAAUUCUGGGGAUUUAUUUUUUUUAGAAGGUAAUAGAUCAAUUUAAAUAUUAAUCAUUUUAUAUUUAGGUUAAAUAGACAAUAAAAUGAAUUAUAUUAUGGAAAAAUUGAAGUUUUCUAACUAUAUUGGGUCUUAAAUUUUAUCGGCGCAAUAACCCGAACAAACUGUUUGAAUUAACCUGUAACCUGCUAAGACCCAACCUGUCUAAACCAAAUUUUAUUUUGGGCUAAAUGGGCCUUGAUGUUCCAUCUGCAGGUUGUGUUGUGUUGUUCUUUUUACGUUGAAUGCGUCCUACCCGGCCCGUUGUUCACCCCUAAAAACGAACAUAACUCUCUAUCAAUACAAUCAUUGUUGAUGUUGUUGUGGAACCCGCUGCUGUCACUUUUUAUCCAUCAUAAAUCGCUGUCAAAUUUAAGUUGUUUAUUUGUUUGAAUAAAUGUCUAAAUGAAAGGAAGGAGGUGAGUCUAUCAUGUGUAUUCAACUUUUAUGUGAAGAUAAAGGAGGUGAGUAGCUAGCCGACUUUCAAUGAAUGUAAUCAAUGCAAUAUAAAUAAUGGCUCGCCAAAGGUGUUUUACUUAUGUUGAUUUCGUUUUGAAAAACUAUUUGCAAGCUCGAUUAUGGCCACGACUUCAAAGUAAAUGUUGGAAUGGUAAAUAACUUUAUGCCCUUUGGAACUA
Vicia villosa (hairy vetch) is the source of this 1294-nucleotide long non-coding RNA. RefSeq lists it as uncharacterized. NCBI's taxonomy places the organism in Eukaryota, Viridiplantae, Streptophyta, Magnoliopsida, Fabales, Fabaceae. The record is from RefSeq and is a predicted model, not a curated record. The transcript is spliced from 3 exons.